RNAcentral lists this ribosomal RNA (494 nucleotides) under uncultured bacterium. RNAcentral describes it as "bacterial SSU rRNA". It matches the Rfam family "Bacterial small subunit ribosomal RNA", at positions 29 to 524 of the family's 1533-position model. The record is from RNAcentral.
AACGAACGCUGGCGGCGUGCCUAACACAUGCAAGUCGUGCGAGAAAGUUCCUGCGGGAGCGAGUAAAGCGGCGCACGGGUGAGUAACACGUAGGUAACCUGCCCCCCAGUCUGGAACAACUAGAGGAAACUCUAGCUAAUGCCGGAUGAGACCACGAUCCCUUCGGGGGUUGCGGCCAAAGAUGGCCUCUACUUGUAAGCUAUCGCUGAGGGAUGGGCCUGCGGGCCAUUAGCUUGUUGGUGAGGUAACGGCUCACCAAGGCUGUGAUGGCUAGCUGGUCUGAGAGGAUGACCAGCCACACUGGGACUGAGACACGGCCCAGACUCCUACGGGAGGCAGCAGUGGGGAAUAUUGGACAAUGGGCGAAAGCCUGAUCCAGCAAUGCCGCGUGAGUGAUGAAGGCCUUAGGGUUGUAAAGCUCUUUUACCCGGGAUGAUAAUGACAGUACCGGGAGAAUAAGCUCCGGCUAACUCCGUGCCAGCAGCCGCGGUAAU